UGGGUGGUAUAUUUCAUCUAAAGCUAAAUAUUGGCCAGAGACCGAUAGCGCACAAGUAGAGUGAUCGAAAGAUGAAAAGCACUUUGGAAAGAGAGUUAAACAGUACGUGAAAUUGUUGAAAGGGAAGCGCUUGCAACCAGACUUGCAUGCCGUCGAUCAUCCUGGGUUCUCCCUGGUGCACUCGGCGGCGUUCAGGCCAGCAUCGGUUUUGGUGGUUGGAUAAAGGCCUUGGGAAUGUGGCUCCUUUCGGGGAGUGUUAUAGCCCUCGGUGCAAUGCAGCCUACCGGGACCGAGGACCGCGCUUCGGCUAGGAUGCUGGCGUAAUGGUUGUAAGCGACCCGUCUUGAAACACGGACC
Molecule: ribosomal RNA, 357 nt
Filed under: Hymenotorrendiella communis
Lineage: Eukaryota; Fungi; Ascomycota; Leotiomycetes; Helotiales; Helotiaceae
Description: partial large subunit ribosomal RNA
Rfam family: Eukaryotic large subunit ribosomal RNA
Source: RNAcentral